GAUGAACGCUGGCGGCGUGCCUAAUACAUGCAAGUCGAGCGAACAGACGAGGAGCUUGCUCCUCUGACGUUAGCGGCGGACGGGUGAGUGACACGUGGAUAACCUACCUAUAAGACUGGGAUAACUUCGGGAAACCGGAGCUAAUACCGGAUAAUAUAUUGAACCGCAUGGUUCAAUAGUGAAAGACGGUUUUGCUGUCACUUAUAGAUGGAUCCGCGCCGCAAUAGCUAGUUGGUAAGGUAACGGCUUACCAAGGCAACGAUGCGUAGCCGACCUGAGAGGGUGAUCGGCCACACUGGAACUGAGACACGGUCCAGACUCCUACGGGAGGCAGCAGUAGGGAAUCUUCCGCAAUGGGCGAAAGCCUGACGGAGCAACGCCGCGUGAGUGAUGAAGGUCUUCGGAUCGUAAAACUCUGUUAUUAGGGAAGAACAAAUGUGUAAGUAACUAUGCACGUCUUGACGGUACCUAAUCAGAAAGCCACGGCUAACUACGUG
RNAcentral lists this ribosomal RNA (497 nucleotides) under uncultured bacterium. Its description in RNAcentral is "partial 16S ribosomal RNA". It matches the Rfam family "Bacterial small subunit ribosomal RNA", at positions 28 to 507 of the family's 1533-position model. The record is from RNAcentral.